CAAAGCAACAAGAAGAGCAAAUUAGAAGGCCAUACACGGCCAUGACCCAAGAAAAUUCACCCCUUAAAAUCUUCUCCCAAAAAUUAUUUUCUUGUGGUAUUCCUACUAAUUCAAGGGUCCUUUACAACUUGGUGUAAUUAUUUUGGAAGAAAGAACACUUGUUUCUUCAAGUUGACAACUUGGUCAAGUGAAGAAGAUUGUAGAAAAAGAUUUUGGCGAACUUGAAACUUGAUUUUGGAGACGUGUAUGAAUCGGAAAAGGUCAGCAGACAGGUGGACUUGAUCCUUAGGAGCUCUACCAGCGGUACUCUACAGUGCUCCAGUUGUUCCGGAGCCUCACUUCCGCGGUACUAUUUUGUGUAUGUAUAUUCGGGCACGGCAGUACCCGGCCCUUUCUAUGUAUAAGUGUACUAUGUCUAGAGGCUCGUAGACAGAUACGUACAGUCAGUCAGGUACAGAUAUAUGUAUAGUGUUUUGGCAUGUUAAUAUUGUUGUACAAGGUAAUAACGGAGUUUAUUAGUUUAUGUUCAAGGAAAAAAUGGCUC
Long non-coding RNA from Lycium barbarum (goji berry), 544 nucleotides. RefSeq lists it as uncharacterized. NCBI's taxonomy places the organism in Eukaryota, Viridiplantae, Streptophyta, Magnoliopsida, Solanales, Solanaceae. The transcript is spliced from 3 exons. The record is from RefSeq and is a predicted model, not a curated record.